GUGGCGAACGGCUGAGGAACACGUGCGUUACCAUCCUUUCCGUGGGGAAUACCGGCUGGAAACAGCCGACAAUACCGCAUAUGCUGUCAGUGACAGGAAAGCCUUAGGGCGCGGAGAGACGGGCGCGCGGCCCAUCAGGUAGUUGGUGUGGUAACGGCGCACCAAGCCAAUGACGGGUCGCUGGUCUGCGAGGACGGCCAGCCAGACUGGGACUGCGACACGGCCCAGACACCUACGGGUGGCAGCAGCAAGGAAUCUUCCCCAAUGGGCUCACGCCUGAGGGAGCAACGCCGCGUGGAGGAUGACGGCCUUCGGGUUGUAAACUCCUUUUGUGGGGGAUGAUGAUGACAGUACCCCACGAAUCAGCCCCGGCUAACUCUGUGCCAGCAGCCGCGGUAAGACAGAGGGGGCAAGCGUUGUCCGGAAUUACUGGGCGUAAAGCGCGCGCAGGCGGCCUGGGAUGUGCCUGGUGACAAUUUCCGGCUUAACCGGGAAGGGUCUGGGUAGACACCGAGGCUAGCAGCAGGGAGAGGGUUGUGGAAUACCCGGUGGAGCGGUGAAAUGCGUAGAGAUCGGGUGGAACACCAGUGGCGAAGGCGGCAACCUGGCCCUGCAUGGACGCUGAGGCGCGACAGCGUGGGGAGCAAACGGGAUUAGAUACCCCGGUAGUCCACGCCGUAAACGAUGUGGAGCCGGUGCUGGGGGGUGAUUGCGCCGCUCGGUACCUUAGCUUACGCGAUGACUCCACCG
RNAcentral lists this ribosomal RNA (750 nucleotides) under uncultured Chloroflexota bacterium. RNAcentral describes it as "bacterial SSU rRNA". It matches the Rfam family "Bacterial small subunit ribosomal RNA", at positions 95 to 871 of the family's 1533-position model. Lineage: Bacteria; Bacillati; Chloroflexota. The record is from RNAcentral.